This 257-nucleotide ribosomal RNA is filed under the name uncultured prokaryote. RNAcentral's name for it is "partial 16S ribosomal RNA". It matches the Rfam family "Bacterial small subunit ribosomal RNA", at positions 524 to 780 of the family's 1533-position model. The record is from RNAcentral.
UACGGAGGAUCCGAGCGUUAUCCGUAUUUAUUGGGUUUAAAGGGUGCGUAGGUGGAUUGGUAAGUCAGUGGUGAAAGUUUGCAGCUUAACUGUAACAGUGCCGUUGAUACUGGGGAGCUAGGAUUUGGUUGCUGUGGGUGGAAUGUGUGGUGUAGCGGUGAAAUGCUUAGAGAUCACACAGAAUAUCGAUUGCGAAGGCAGCUCACAAAGCCAAGAUUGACGCUGAGGCACGAAAGUGUGGGGAUCAAACAGGAUUA